This 118-nucleotide small RNA is filed under the name Wenyingzhuangia marina. Its description in RNAcentral is "Flavo-1 RNA". It matches the Rfam family "Flavo-1 RNA". Lineage: Bacteria; Pseudomonadati; Bacteroidota; Flavobacteriia; Flavobacteriales; Flavobacteriaceae. The record is from RNAcentral.
UAAAAGUCGCGUUAAGGAUAGAAACGGCAUCCUUUUUACGUUGAUUUUGAGUGCAGUUGCUUAAGUAAAUUUGUAUUGAAAACAACGUAAAAAGAUACAGUGUAUAGCCUGUUAAAAC